GCUUAGAGUUUGAUCCUGGCUCAGGAUGAACGCUGGCGGCGUGCUUAACACAUGCAAGUCGAACGGUCUCUUCGGAGAUAGUGGCGGACGGGUGAGUAACGCGUGAGAAUCUGCCUUUAGGUUCGGGACAACAGUUGGAAACGACUGCUAAUACCGAAUGUGUCGCAAGAUGAAAGAUUUAUUGCCUAAAGAUGAGCUCGCGUCUGAUUAGCUAGUUGGUGGGGUAAAAGCGUACCAAGGCGACGAUCAGUAGCUGGUCUGAGAGGAUGAUCAGCCACACUGGGACUGAGACACGGCCCAGACUCCUACGGGAGGCAGCAGUGGGGAAUUCUCCGCAAUGGGCGAAAGCCUGACGGAGCAACGCCGCGUGAGGGAGGAAGGCUUUUGGGUUGUAAACCUCUUUUAUCAAGGAAGAUAAUGACGGUACUUGAUGAAUCAGCAUCGGCUAACUCCGUGCCAGCAGCCGCGGUAAUACGGAGGAUGCAAGCGUU
RNAcentral lists this ribosomal RNA (491 nucleotides) under uncultured cyanobacterium. Its description in RNAcentral is "bacterial SSU rRNA". It matches the Rfam family "Bacterial small subunit ribosomal RNA", at positions 1 to 542 of the family's 1533-position model. The record is from RNAcentral. Lineage: Bacteria; Bacillati; Cyanobacteriota.